This 220-nucleotide ribosomal RNA is filed under the name uncultured bacterium. Its description in RNAcentral is "partial 16S ribosomal RNA". It matches the Rfam family "Bacterial small subunit ribosomal RNA", at positions 524 to 742 of the family's 1533-position model. The record is from RNAcentral.
UACGUAGGGUGCGAGCGUUGUCCGGAAUUAUUGGGCGUAAAGAGCUUGUAGGCGGUUUGUCGCGUCUGCUGUGAAAAUCCGGGGCUCAACCCCGGACUUGCAGUGGGUACGGGCAGACUAGAGUGUGGUAGGGGAGACUGGAAUUCCUGGUGUAGCGGUGAAAUGCGCAGAUAUCAGGAGGAACACCGAUGGCGAAGGCGGGUCUCUGGGCCGGUAACUG